RNAcentral lists this ribosomal RNA (485 nucleotides) under uncultured bacterium. RNAcentral describes it as "bacterial SSU rRNA". It matches the Rfam family "Bacterial small subunit ribosomal RNA", at positions 29 to 524 of the family's 1533-position model. The record is from RNAcentral.
AACGAACGCUGGCGGCGCGCCUAAUACAUGCAAGUCGAGCGAGAAGACGUAGCAAUACGUUUGUAAAGCGGCGAACGGGUGAGGAAUACAUGGGUAACCUACCCUCGAGUGGGGAAUAACUAGCCGAAAGGUUAGCUAAUACCGCGUACGCUCCUUGGACUUCGGUUCAGGGAGGAAAGCGAUACCGUGGGUAUCGCGCUCUUGGAUGGGCUCAUGUCCUAUCAGCUUGUUGGUGAGGAACGGCUCACCAAGGCUUCGACGGGUAGCUGGUCUGAGAGGACGAUCAGCCACACUGGCACUGCGACACGGGCCAGACUCCUACGGGAGGCAGCAGUGGGGAAUAUUGGACAAUGGGCGCAAGCCUGAUCCAGCCAUGCCGCGUGAGUGAUGAAGGCCCUAGGGUUGUAAAGCUCUUUCGCCAGGGACGAUAAUGACGGUACCUGGAUAAGAAGCCCGGCUAACUUCGUGCCAGCAGCCGCCGUAAC